CAGAUGAAAGCUGGCGAAUUUUCCUGCACACAGUUCUGCUUUCCAAUAGAUUUUGCCAAAAGCAAGUGUCCAGUAAUGGCAAAAUAGAAGUCACUGAUAACAAAAUGCGGUUGGAGUCAUUUGUGAUUAUUGCACUGCUUGCUAGUUUCCAAGCAAGAAUUAACAGUGUAGAGAUAGGUGUUCUAAAAUCCACCCUCACAGCUGCCAAUAGGACUGUUCCCCCAGACAGAAAAAUUGAAAGCAAACCAUGCACCUGUUUCAGCACAAGGCAAUUUCUCCAUGCAGUAAAGUCUUCAUUUGAUGCCACUCUAUUGCCAGAAGGGAAGUAUGUCAGGAUGGCCAGUUGUAGGGGAGAACAUGGGCAGCAUCAGAUGCCAUGUUUGCACAGUUUAUUUUAGCCAUUUGGAACUCUU
Non-coding RNA from Pelobates cultripes (western spadefoot toad), 413 nucleotides. NCBI's taxonomy places the organism in Eukaryota, Metazoa, Chordata, Amphibia, Anura, Pelobatidae. The record is from the annotation of a GenBank genome assembly.